This 444-nucleotide ribosomal RNA is filed under the name Minisyncoccota bacterium. Its description in RNAcentral is "bacterial LSU rRNA". It matches the Rfam family "Bacterial large subunit ribosomal RNA", at positions 1 to 463 of the family's 2925-position model. The record is from RNAcentral. Lineage: Bacteria; Bacillati; Minisyncoccota.
GUAAAUUAAAGCAGAAGGUGAAUGCCUUGGCUUGUUUGACCGAAGAAGGACGCCUAGGGUGCGAAAGUCGUCGGGGAGCUCCCAAAAAGCUAUGAUCCGACGGUGUCCGAAUGGGGAAACCCCCCUAUCAGCGAUGGUAGGGAUUCCUAAAUUUAUUUAGGGAGGGGAACGCGCUGAACUGAAAUAUCUAAGUAAGCGCAGGAAAAGAAAUCACAGAGAUUCCCUUAGUAAGCGACGAGCGAAAAGGGACUAGUCCAAACCGAACUUUUGUUCGGGGUUGUAGGGCUUUCGAUAUUGGAUUCUUUAGAUUAGUAGAACAACGUGGAAUAGUUGGCCAAAGAACGUGACAGCCGUGUAUAUGAAAAUCAAAAGAAGCAUAGAAAGUACCUGAGUAAGUUGGGAGACGGCAAACUCCCUUCCGAAUCCGGGGUGACCACACUCCAA